RNAcentral lists this ribosomal RNA (492 nucleotides) under uncultured bacterium. RNAcentral's name for it is "partial 16S ribosomal RNA". It matches the Rfam family "Bacterial small subunit ribosomal RNA", at positions 29 to 507 of the family's 1533-position model. The record is from RNAcentral.
AGUGAACGCUGGCGGUAGGCCUAACACAUGCAAGUCGAACGGCAGCACAGUAAGAGCUUGCUCUUACGGGUGGCGAGUGGCGGACGGGUGAGGAAUACAUCGGAAUCUACUUUUUCGUGGGGGAUAACGUAGGGAAACUUACGCUAAUACCGCAUACGACCUACGGGUGAAAGCAGGGGAUCUUCGGACCUUGCGCGAUUGAAUGAGCCGAUGUCGGAUUAGCUAGUUGGCGGGGUAAAGGCCCACCAAGGCGACGAUCCGUAGCUGGUCUGAGAGGAUGAUCAGCCACACUGGAACUGAGACACGGUCCAGACUCCUACGGGAGGCAGCAGUGGGGAAUAUUGGACAAUGGGCGCAAGCCUGAUCCAGCCAUACCGCGGGGGUGAAGAAGGCCUUCGGGUUGUAAAGCCCUAUUGUUGGGAAAGAAAAGCAGCAGGUUAAUACCCCGCUGUUCUGACGGUACCCAAAGAAUAAGCACCGGCUAACUUCGUG